RNAcentral lists this ribosomal RNA (327 nucleotides) under Blaberus sp. WCW-2001. RNAcentral describes it as "LSU rRNA". It matches the Rfam family "Eukaryotic large subunit ribosomal RNA", at positions 674 to 964 of the family's 3401-position model. The record is from RNAcentral. Lineage: Eukaryota; Metazoa; Arthropoda; Insecta; Blattodea; Blaberidae.
UCUAACAUGUGCGCGAGUCACUGGGAGCACUUGCUAAACCCGGAGGCACAGUGAAAGCGGGGUAGCAGCCCAACGUGGGCCGCCGUUGGGAGGAUGUCGAGCGGAAUUCCCGCAAGAUCGCACUCCCGGGGCGUCUCGGCCUCGGCCGCAUGCGCACCCCGAGCGCACACGUUGGGACCCGAAAGAUGGUGAACUAUGCCUGGUCAGGACGAAGUCAGGGGAAACCCUGAUGGAGGUCCGCAGUGAUUCUGACGUGCAAAUCGAUCGACAGAGCUGGGUAUAGUGGCGAAAGACUAAUCGAACCAUCUAGUAGCUGGUUCCUUCCGA